RNAcentral lists this ribosomal RNA (253 nucleotides) under uncultured bacterium. Its description in RNAcentral is "partial 16S ribosomal RNA". It matches the Rfam family "Bacterial small subunit ribosomal RNA", at positions 524 to 776 of the family's 1533-position model. The record is from RNAcentral.
UACGUAGGGGGCUAGCGUUGUCCGGAAUCAUUGGGCGUAAAGCGCGUGUAGGCGGUCCGGUAAGUCCGCUGUGAAAGUCGGGGGCUCAACCCUCGGAUGCCGGUGGAUACUGUCGGGCUUGAGUACGGAAGAGGCGAGUGGAAUUCCUGGUGUAGCGGUGAAAUGUGUAGAGAUCGGGAGGAACACCGGUGGCGAAGGCGGGUCUCUGGGCAUCUCCUGACGCUGAGGCGCGAAAGCGUGGGGAGCAAACGGG